RNAcentral lists this ribosomal RNA (460 nucleotides) under uncultured bacterium. RNAcentral's name for it is "partial 16S ribosomal RNA". It matches the Rfam family "Bacterial small subunit ribosomal RNA", at positions 338 to 795 of the family's 1533-position model. The record is from RNAcentral.
CCUACGGGUGGCAGCAGUGAGGAAUAUUGGUCAAUGGGCGCGAGCCUGAACCAGCCAAGUAGCGUGAAGGAUGACUGCCCUACGGGUUGUAAACUUCUUUUAUAAAGGAAUAAAGUUAGGCACGUGUGCCUUCUUGUAUGUACCUUAUGAAUAAGGAUCGGCUAACUCCGUGCCAGCAGCCGCGGUAAUACGGAGGAUCCGAGCGUUAUCCGGAUUUAUUGGGUUUAAAGGGAGCGUAGGUGGGUUGUUAAGUCAGUUGUGAAAGUUUGCGGCUCAACCGUAAAAUUGCAGUUGAUACUGGCAGCCUUGAGUACAGUAGAGGUAGGCGGAAUGCGUGGUGUAGCGGUGAAAUGCUUAGAUAUCACGAAGAACUCCGAUUGCGAAGGCAGCUUACUAAACUGCCACUGACAUUGAUGCUCGAAAGUGUGGGUAUCAAACAGGAUUAGAUACCCUUGUAGUC